Molecule: non-coding RNA, 27 nt
Filed under: Rattus norvegicus (Norway rat)
Lineage: Eukaryota; Metazoa; Chordata; Mammalia; Rodentia; Muridae
Source: RNAcentral
UGAUAGUUUCCUGUAGAAAGUUGCUGU